UUAGAAUUUUAAGAGCAAAAAG
RNAcentral lists this microRNA (22 nucleotides) under Drosophila yakuba. RNAcentral's name for it is "dya-miR-303". Its record names the gene dya-miR-303. The record is from miRBase by way of RNAcentral. Lineage: Eukaryota; Metazoa; Arthropoda; Insecta; Diptera; Drosophilidae.